UUCUCUUUCUUCUUCUUCUUUCUUUAUUCUUCUGUUCUCGCCUCUGGCGAUUCUGAUAGUCUUGAGAGAUGAAAUUAAAUUGUGAGAUCGUGAGGGUUGAGUAGAUAUCAAGGCGUAUCUGAUGAUGACGGUGUUGAAUCGAUUACUGCACCAGGAAUUCACAGAGAAAGAGACAGAUCAGGGUUGCGCAGUGGAAGCUCUGUGGCGUUGAGUCUUCUGCUAUGUUUAUUAUGUUGUAUAUUCUAUUUGCAAACCAAAUGACAAGUGUAUAUGUAUCAUUUGAGAGGAAUUCUUAUAUAUAUUUCUGAGCGGGGCUAGUUUUUGAGUUAAGCUUUGUAACAAAUUUCUUAAUACGAUGUUUAAGUAUAUGAUUUAGAUUUUUAGUGCC
Papaver somniferum (opium poppy) is the source of this 388-nucleotide long non-coding RNA. RefSeq lists it as uncharacterized. NCBI's taxonomy places the organism in Eukaryota, Viridiplantae, Streptophyta, Magnoliopsida, Ranunculales, Papaveraceae. The record is from RefSeq and is a predicted model, not a curated record. The transcript is spliced from 2 exons.